RNAcentral lists this ribosomal RNA (253 nucleotides) under uncultured bacterium. RNAcentral describes it as "partial 16S ribosomal RNA". It matches the Rfam family "Bacterial small subunit ribosomal RNA", at positions 524 to 776 of the family's 1533-position model. The record is from RNAcentral.
GACGAAGGGGGCUAGCGUUGUUCGGAAUUACUGGGCGUAAAGCGCGCGCAGGCGGUUUUCCAAGUCAGUGGUGAAAGCCCGGAGCUCAACUCCGGAAAUGCCAUUGAAACUGCAAAACUUGAGUACGAGAGAGGUGAGUGGAAUUCCCAGUGUAGAGGUGAAAUUCGUAGAUAUUGGGAAGAACACCGGUGGCGAAGGCGGCUCACUGGCUCGUAACUGACGCUCAGGCGCGAUAGCGUGGGGAUCAAACAGG